UUUCCGUAGGUGAACCUGCGGAAGGAUCAUUAUUGUAUAACCGAGAUGCGAGGGCUGUCGCUGACCCGACAGGUCGUGCACACCAGAGUGCCCUCACACACAUCCAUCUCACCCCUAUGUGCACCCCCGCGUGGGUCCCCCUUUGGCUUGUUCGGAGGGGGGCUUACGUUUUCACACAAACUUUGUAUGCAGUGUAGAAUGUAUUUUUUGUUUUUGCGAUCACGCAAUCAAUACAACUUUCAACAACGGAUCUCUUGGCUCUC
Molecule: unclassified non-coding RNA, 263 nt
Filed under: plant metagenome
Description: partial contains small subunit ribosomal RNA, internal transcribed spacer 1, and 5.8S ribosomal RNA
Source: RNAcentral